AUGCAUCUCUGACAACCCUGGAGCACUUAUAUCUGCUGCUAUGUUUUCCACAAUAGAUGCAAGAAAAAGAAGACCUUGAGCUUUCUGUCUGCUUGUGGCAGCCAAAAUUGAAUGGGGGAAUACAGGA
Molecule: small nucleolar RNA, 127 nt
Filed under: Dasypus novemcinctus (nine-banded armadillo)
Lineage: Eukaryota; Metazoa; Chordata; Mammalia; Cingulata; Dasypodidae
Description: Small nucleolar RNA SNORA31 (ENSDNOG00000040200.1)
Rfam family: Small nucleolar RNA SNORA31
About the family: ACA31 (SNORA31) belongs to the H/ACA class of snoRNAs which are thought to guide the sites of modification of uridines to pseudouridines.
Source: RNAcentral